Xenia sp. Carnegie-2017 is the source of this 185-nucleotide long non-coding RNA. RefSeq lists it as uncharacterized. The record is from RefSeq and is a predicted model, not a curated record. The transcript is spliced from 3 exons. Lineage: Eukaryota; Metazoa; Cnidaria; Anthozoa; Malacalcyonacea; Xeniidae.
GCAAGUUAAAGAAAUCGACGCAUUGAAAACUAGGAUGGAAACACUUGAAUCUGGGUUGACAUGUAAAGAAGAAGAACGACAGAGAUUAUUGAGGCAAGUUAAAGAAAUCGACGCAUUGAAAACUAGGAUGGAAACACUUGAAUCUGAGUUGACAUGUAAAGAAGAAAAACGACAGAGAUUAUUGA